CCCCCACCCACUGCCCCUCACUCCCUGCCUGGGGCUGUGGGGGCAGUUACACCCCCAAGCACCCCCAGCUCUUUGAGGAUGUGAAGGAUUUGGGGGCCACACGGGGGAUUUGGGAGCACACAGCUCAGCAGGGAUUUGAGUCAGGUUUCCACCUUGGAGGGCUCAGGAGGGUGUGACCUCUCUCUGUGUCCCCAGACCUUCCUGAACCCGUGGUACGAGGCCAGCCUGGGCCCCAUCCUCAUCCUCACGCUCUGCACUGGCCUCUGGGCCUUCAGCACCGCUGGUGGCUCCUUCCACAACGUCCUCAAGUGCCUCUCGUGUAAGCAGGAGCCUGAGGGCCAGGCCAUGCUCUGCUCGGCGCUGCCGGUGCCUCCUGAGGGCUGAGGGAGCCGUGGCCCCACAGCCAGACCCUCCUGUGAAAGCCUUCACCCCUCCUGCUCCGGGGGAAUUUGUGUCUGCCCAGUGCCUGGGGGCCUUUGGGGUCUGACUGGUGCUCCUGGGGAAUUUGGGGUCUGACCACCACCCUCUUCCCUUUGUUCCCAGAUUCUCUGAACUCCUUUCCCUCAGUUUGAGCCUCUGGGGAAGGCCAGGGUGGGCCAGAUGCCCUGGGGGGAGUCAGGGCAGGACCCCCCCCCAUUUCCCUGUGUUUGUCACCCUGGGGGUGUCCCCACCCCUGGUGAAGCUCUGGGUGUGGGGGACACCGGGACUGGGAUGCUCUGCCCUUCUCGCCCCUGUUCAGUCCCAGGGGAGUAAAUUAUUUUUUUAAUUAAGAGUAAAACCGUUUUACAAAACCA
This is a non-coding RNA of Zonotrichia albicollis (white-throated sparrow), 794 nucleotides long. NCBI's taxonomy places the organism in Eukaryota, Metazoa, Chordata, Aves, Passeriformes, Passerellidae. The record is from RefSeq and is a predicted model, not a curated record.